RNAcentral lists this ribosomal RNA (360 nucleotides) under uncultured bacterium. RNAcentral describes it as "bacterial SSU rRNA". It matches the Rfam family "Bacterial small subunit ribosomal RNA", at positions 8 to 334 of the family's 1533-position model. The record is from RNAcentral.
AGGGUUUGAUUCUGGCUCAGGAUGAACGCUGGCGGCGUGCUUAACACAUGCAAGUCGAACGAAGCACCUCUCCCGAAGAUUGACACAGCUUGCUGUAGAUUGAUUCAUUUGAGGUGACUGAGUGGCGGACGGGUGAGUAACGCGUGGGUAACCUGCCUCAUAGAGGGGGACAACAGUUGGAAACGACUGCUAAUACCGCAUAGUAAGAAAGAUUCGCAUGUUUCUUUCUUGAAAGAUUUAUCGCUAUGAGAUGGACCCGCGUCUGAUUAGCUAGUUGGUAAGGUAACGGCUUACCAAGGCGACGAUCAGUAGCCGGCUUGAGAGAGUGAACGGCCACAUUGGGACUGAGACACGGCCCAA